AAUCCUCUUCCCUUAAUAGAAGCUGGAGAUAUUUUCUUCUCUAUCAUCCACUUGCUCCCCCGCUAGUUUCAUCGCAAUCUUCGUUGCUCAUCUUCCUCAAGGAUUGGGAAGAUGGAUUUAAUGAUACAACAACCUUGCAAGAAAAUAUAUGCUGAGCAUGAAAACCUUUGACUUGUCUCAAGUUGAUUCUCCAGAUUCGUGAGAUCUUUGACAUUCAGUCCAGAAAGUUCUUCCCCUAAAAGCUGCCUACACUCGCAAGAAACAUAAAUAUAUAUGAGUACGAAGGUUCAGGAAACCAACAUAGGGUUCAUAUGAAUUUUCAUCUAUGGCACUGUACUGAAAAAGCAGAUUAUACAUUCUUGAAGAUGAGAGAGGAAGAAAGCUAAAGAAACCAACAUAGGGAUUUCAUAGUUGCUUAAACUGCAAUUCUUUAUCAAGCCAAAAAGAGAUCUUGGGUUGCACAAGUUAGAUGAAGGAUCGGGAAACAGCUUGACAAAUAGGAUGAAGAUUUGAAUGCAAUGUCUCCUGGCUUAGCCAGUUGAACCUGCAGAAUGCAGUCAAGACCUAUUGCAUGAGAAACAGCAUCUUGUCAAUAGGAAAUUGGUUCAUAACCAAAACCAUUACUUGAUAAGAGCUAACAUGAUAACAUUGGGACCUAUUCAUGUUUGCACCUUGCCACUGCUUGAAGUUGGAUUGGAGCAUCGAAAGAAAGAAUCACGAUGAAUGCAUUGAGGAAUCUUAUUGCCAAGCAUCUAGUGACUAAAAGGUUACAAUUCUCUAGCCCCAUUCCACUUUCAGCUUGGGAUUGAGAUCAACGUUACUUGGGGAUGCUGUGGUGGACUAAGGGAGCCUUGAGUUCGGGUUUGAUAGUUCCUUGAGAUUAGUGUCAAAGUCCGUUCGAGAAGAAAGCAGUAGCCUAACUGAGCAUCUAACAAGGUAUGCUUCUAUGUUACUUGAGCCCUUUUAAACCCAAAUUCAAUGGCUGCCUUGUCUGGAUGGGUGGAAAAUGGGAGGAAGGAAAAUGAGUGGAAUGUUACUAGUUUUUCUUGUUUGGAUGAGAAAGAAGAGGAAGGGAACGAAAAUGAGGAGCAAAUGGGGGAGAAAUAAUCCUCUAUCUUAUCAUUUGUUUUUCCUUACCAAAUUGGUAAGAAAAAGUUGUCUCUCCCUUUCUCAAUCCAUAUUGUACAUUGAACCUAGCUCCUCUCCUCUCAAUAUAUUCACCACCUCCGUUUCCCAUUCCUAUAUCACCCUUUCAUCUCAUCCAAAUACAAAAUUUUCUUCUUCGUUUUUAUUUCUCUUCAGCCCUAUCUUCUCAUCCAAAUACAAAACUUCUCCAUUUUCCCCCUUUAUCUUUCUUUCCUCUCAUUUGCCACCCAUCCAAAUGCAAAAUGAAUGCGGAGACUCGUUCCCUAGAGGCAGUUGAAAUUAAUUGAUCAUUUGGUUAUUUCUAGGACCUCCCGAGACCCGAUAGCCAUUUUGGUCGAAUUGUUUUGUCCACUUUGCCUUCAUUUCCUUCAUUACUAUACUCUGCAAGGUUCAACCAUGUCUGCAGGAGAAACGAACUAUCAUUUAAUAGAAUUCUGUUGAACAUGCUCCCUAGAUGCAGUUGAAAUUAAUUGAUCAUUUGGUUAUUUCUAGGACCUCCCGAGUCCCAAUAGCCAUUUUGGUCGAAUUGUUUUGUCCACUUUGCCUUCAUUUCCUUCAUUACUAUACUCUGCAAGGUUCAACCAUGUCUGCAGGAGAAACGA
This is a long non-coding RNA of Ipomoea nil (Japanese morning glory), 1748 nucleotides long. RefSeq lists it as uncharacterized. Lineage: Eukaryota; Viridiplantae; Streptophyta; Magnoliopsida; Solanales; Convolvulaceae. The transcript has 5 exons. The record is from RefSeq and is a predicted model, not a curated record.